GUGUCAGCAGCCGCGGUAAUACGUAGGAUCCGAGCGUUGUCCGGAAUUACUGGGUGUAAAGGGAGCGCAGGCGGGUCUAUAAGUCGACGGUGAAAUCUUCCAGCUCAACUGGAAAACUGCCGCCGAUACUGUAGAUCUUGAAUAUGUCAGAGGGAAACGGAAUUCAUGGUGUAGCGGUGAAAUGCGUAGAUAUCAUGAAGAACACCAGUCGCGAAGGCGGUUUCCUGGGACAUUAUUGACGCUCAUGCUCGAAAGUGUGGGGAGCAAACAGGAUUAGAUACCCUGGUAGUCCACACCUUAAACGAUGAAUACUAGGUGUCGGGUCGAAAGACUCGGUGCCAAAGCUAACGCAUUAAGUAUUCCACCUGGGGAGUACGAUCGCAAGGUUGAA
This 391-nucleotide ribosomal RNA is filed under the name uncultured bacterium. Its description in RNAcentral is "bacterial SSU rRNA". It matches the Rfam family "Bacterial small subunit ribosomal RNA", at positions 505 to 898 of the family's 1533-position model. The record is from RNAcentral.